GAUCGGGUAGGAUGAUGUUCGCACUAACCUCUUCAUUGAUAACACUAACUAUAUGGGCUACUCCAUCCAAACGAUAAAGUCGGUUCGAAUUAUCCCCCAUCGACUAAAUAUUCUACUCAAGCCUUUGUUGGAGUCGUAAUGGAUCGCUUUCUCUGGGAUUUGGUAAGGCAUUGAUUUAGAAUAGUGGUUCGAAUGAGGUUACUUCGAACUCUUUAUAUAGGGAAAACAGGGGGUAAUUCGAAACAGCCUGCUUCGAAUUACUAUGGGCACGAAAUUCUCUACUAAUUCGAAAGAUGCUGUUUCGAAUUAGUAUGAUUCGAAUUACUAUGGUAUGUGUAAUUCAAGUGGCUCUAAUACGAACUAUAUAGAAAAGUGCUCCUUGGUAGAACCUUGUAACGUUUUUAUCUUUGGUGAAAUUAUGUAAAACCACCCUCUACUUGGUUUAUAUGCGUCAUUUGCCCUAAAAAUUAACUACUAUAUAUUUGUGUAUAAAUAACUGUAUUGUUUAACUUAUUUUUAAUAUAUAUUUCGUAUUACAUGUAUUUUAUAUCAAUGAUUAAGGUAUACUUGAUAUUAUAUAUACAUAUACACACUAGUUAAGGAAUAAUGAUCAAAAGUCUUUAAAAAUUUACAAGUA
Non-coding RNA from Arachis ipaensis, 637 nucleotides. NCBI's taxonomy places the organism in Eukaryota, Viridiplantae, Streptophyta, Magnoliopsida, Fabales, Fabaceae. The record is from RefSeq and is a predicted model, not a curated record.